GUUGGCCUGGCUGCAGGAGCUGAAGUCGGCGUAGGCAGACGCCUCCAUGGCGGCCAUGCAGGAGUCGUAGGAGUUGAGGUUCAACCAAUUUUCCUGGUAUGGAAGUUAGACUUACGAGCCUGUAAUUGCCAGGAUCGUCUCUGGAGCCUUU
Molecule: non-coding RNA, 151 nt
Organism: Pelodiscus sinensis (Chinese soft-shelled turtle)
Lineage: Eukaryota; Metazoa; Chordata; Testudines; Trionychidae
Source: RefSeq, a predicted model, not a curated record